This 106-nucleotide small RNA is filed under the name Stutzerimonas xanthomarina. The record is from RNAcentral. RNAcentral also lists the same sequence under 1 other name. Lineage: Bacteria; Pseudomonadati; Pseudomonadota; Gammaproteobacteria; Pseudomonadales; Pseudomonadaceae.
ACCUCUGAAGCGCAGGACGCGCUCAGGAUCAAGGAGGAUCGACCAUCGCCAGGACGGCAACCGGAAGGAUUCGGAUGGUUAGAAAAACCCGCUUCGGCGGGUUUUU